This 338-nucleotide long non-coding RNA is filed under the name Chrysolophus pictus (golden pheasant). RNAcentral describes it as "lncRNA (ENSCPIG00010006548.1)". The record is from RNAcentral. Lineage: Eukaryota; Metazoa; Chordata; Aves; Galliformes; Phasianidae.
GUGGUGCUGGCAGUGCUGCUCCUGCUCACACUGGUGGUCUUCACCACUGCCUUGAUGCACUUGAGGAAGAGGAGUGCCCUCACCCUGGGGACCCCAGUGCCACUCCUGGUGACCCACAGCAGCCAGGGUCACGACAUGCCCUUGGAGACUUGCAACAACUACAGGGAGGUACCCACAGGCCUCCCCAAGGAGCCAGACUCCACACCCGCAACCCUUCCCACCACCAAGGACUCCGACUCCUCUGACUCUGACUACGAACACUAUGAUUUCAGCAGCAAGCCACCCGUGGCCCUCUCCACCUUCCACAGUGAGACACCACCCCCCACCCUGGCACCUCC